GCGCCGAUAGCUCAACUGGCAGAGCAACUGACUCUUAAUCAGUAGGUUCCAGGUUCGAUUCCUGGUCGGCGCA
This 73-nucleotide transfer RNA is filed under the name Gemmatimonadota bacterium. Its description in RNAcentral is "Gemmatimonadetes bacterium (groundwater metagenome) tRNA-Lys". It matches the Rfam family "tRNA". From Rfam's summary of the family: Transfer RNA (tRNA) molecules are approximately 80 nucleotides in length. RNAcentral also lists the same sequence under 2 other names. Lineage: Bacteria; Pseudomonadati; Gemmatimonadota. The record is from RNAcentral.